This 968-nucleotide ribosomal RNA is filed under the name Campylobacter jejuni. RNAcentral's name for it is "partial 23S ribosomal RNA". It matches the Rfam family "Bacterial large subunit ribosomal RNA", at positions 1 to 988 of the family's 2925-position model. Lineage: Bacteria; Pseudomonadati; Campylobacterota; Epsilonproteobacteria; Campylobacterales; Campylobacteraceae. The record is from RNAcentral.
AGGUAAGCUACUAAGAGCGAAUGGUGGAUGCCUUGACUGGUAAAGGCGAUGAAGGACGUACUAGACUGCGAUAAGCUACGGGGAGCUGUCAAGAAGCUUUGAUCCGUAGAUUUCCGAAUGGGGCAACCCAAUGUAUAGAGAUAUACAUUACCUAUAUAGGAGCGAACGAGGGGAAUUGAAACAUCUUAGUACCCUCAGGAAAAGAAAUCAAUAGAGAUUGCGUCAGUAGCGGCGAGCGAAAGCGCAAGAGGGCAAACCCAGUGCUUGCACUGGGGGUUGUAGGACUGCAAUAUGCAAGAGGUAAGUUUAGCAGAACAUUCUGGAAAGUAUAACCAUAGAGGGUGAUAGUCCCGUAUGCGAAAAACAAACCUUAGCUAGCAGUAUCCUGAGUAGGGCGGGACACGAGGAAUCCUGUCUGAAUCCGGGUCGACCACGAUCCAACCCUAAAUACUAAUACCAGAUCGAUAGUGCACAAGUACCGUGAGGGAAAGGUGAAAAGAACUGAGGUGAUCAGAGUGAAAUAGAACCUGAAACCAUUUGCUUACAAUCAUUCAGAGCCCUAUGUAGCAAUACAGGGUGAUGGACUGCCUUUUGCAUAAUGAGCCUGCGAGUUGUGGUGUCUGGCAAGGUUAAGCAAACGCGAAGCCGUAGCGAAAGCGAGUCUGAAUAGGGCGCUUAGUCAGAUGCUGCAGACCCGAAACGAAGUGAUCUAUCCAUGAGCAAGUUGAAGCUAGUGUAAGAACUAGUGGAGGACUGAACCCAUAGGCGUUGAAAAGCCCCGGGAUGACUUGUGGAUAGGGGUGAAAGGCCAAUCAAACUUCGUGAUAGCUGGUUCUCUCCGAAAUAUAUUUAGGUAUAGCGUUGUGUCGUAAUAUAAGGGGGUAGAGCACUGAAUGGGCUAGGGCAUACACCAAUGUACCAAACCCUAUCAAACUCCGAAUACCUUAUAUGUAAUCACAGCAGUCAGG